GGGGCUGUGGCUCAGCGGUAGAGUUUCUGCUUUGCUUGCAGAAGGCCCUGGGUUCAAUCCUCGGCAGCUCCA
Sphaerodactylus townsendi is the source of this 72-nucleotide non-coding RNA. The record is from the annotation of a RefSeq genome assembly. NCBI's taxonomy places the organism in Eukaryota, Metazoa, Chordata, Lepidosauria, Squamata, Sphaerodactylidae.